RNAcentral lists this long non-coding RNA (528 nucleotides) under Phascolarctos cinereus (koala). RNAcentral describes it as "lncRNA (ENSPCIG00000035203.1)". The record is from RNAcentral. Lineage: Eukaryota; Metazoa; Chordata; Mammalia; Diprotodontia; Phascolarctidae.
GCCAGGCCCAUCAUGCCCUUCCCCUACCCUCCAGGCUACAGGAUUAGCAGGGAGCCCAGGCCCAGAGCCCACACAAGGGCAGGGAGGACACCGCUGCCACAGUCUACAUGAAAGCCAUCCACCAGGGCAGCCCCACCACCUGCAGACAGGUGCCGCUCCCAAGACCCUUGCUGAACUCCGACCCUGUGCUUCUGGACAUUUACAAGCCUCUCCGGCCUCAGUUUCCUCACCAGUCCAAAGACAGGCAGCAGACAGAGCAACCGGCCUGGAGUCAGGAAGACCUGAGUUCAAAUCCUGCCUUGAACACUUAUUACCAGGGUGACCCUGGGGCAAGUCACUUAGCCUCUGUUUGCUGCAGUGUCCUCAUCUGUAAAAUGGGGAUGACAGCAGCAUCUCCCUGCCAGGGCUGUUGAGAGGAUCCAGAAAUACUAUUCAUGACGUGCUCAGCACCCAGCAGACACUCAAUGAAUACUUGUCUCCUUUCCCGCUUCCUUCUACUCAAUGAAUAAAAUUCUUUGUCGGGCAUCA